RNAcentral lists this long non-coding RNA (799 nucleotides) under Mytilus galloprovincialis (Mediterranean mussel). Lineage: Eukaryota; Metazoa; Mollusca; Bivalvia; Mytilida; Mytilidae. The record is from RNAcentral.
GUGUAAAUAAACUUCAUAAAUAGAUAGAUGUGAACAUAAAAUUGGUCAAACAAAAAUUAAAAUAACAUAUCAAUAAAUACACAAAUUUUUGAGACAGCAUCAAUUUAAUCUUAUUUCUUUGGAUAUUAUGGGGUGAGGGUGGGGAUGGGAUUAAAAAAAAAGUUCCCUUCAUACAAUUUUGAAAUCAAGGAGAUGCCUUACUACUACUGAUGUCGGAUUUAUAUUUUUAAAACAAUAUUUGCAAUUGAUUUGGAAAUAAUUCAAUAAAUUUAUUCACAUUAACAUACAUUUACUUCUACAUUAAUUCAUAAAAUAAUCUCACAAAACAUAAAGUGCAAUGGCCCUUUAGGGUCUGAUUAAAUUUAUUUUUCAGUCUCAACCCAUCUGCUCUAUCAAAUUUUAUUAUGAUUUUGUCAUUUUAAGAAAUUGUAUGGUCUUUUAAAUUUGAAAAAAAUAUUCAUGUUUUAAAAAGAAAUGUGACAUUUCCUAUCAAAUGUUUCAAUCUGCACCAAUAUAUCAAUCAACUAAAUACAAAUGACAAUAUAAGAGUUUUAAAAUGACCUUAUUUAAUUCAUUCUUGGUUCCUAAUUAAAAUUGUGAUUUGAACAGAUAUACAUGAGUUUAUCAUACACAUAAACAAAUAAAUGAAUGUGAAAACUGAAGUUAACACAUUGGUAUAAAUUAUCUCAGAUCUAUGUUUAACCGGAUAACAGCUUUAUAAUAACCUUCAACAGUUAAGAAUGUCUAAAUGAAAAAAACAAACUUUUUAAGUUUUAUUUCGUUUUUUUGCAAGUCAUAU